CUAAUUAUGCAUUUAUUUGUGAAUGAAGGGGGUAAAGUUGAACUCUUCAUUUAAUCCCAAAGGGGAUAAGGUCUUACAUUUGUGUAUCCAUCUGGAUUCUUUCCUUAAUAGGGUGAGAUUAUAAUGACCCUUUCUAGUGUUCAGGUGGAUACGUUCUAAAGCCUGAAACAUAAGAUGAGAAGCAUCCGAGUUAUGGAAGUUCCUUAUGUGAUUGGAGACAGGAGUGGAAAUGUUUAGGUUUGAGACUGAAUUCACAUGUUGUAGGAUUCUCCUUCUCAGUUCUUGGAAGGUUUUUCCUAUAUAUUGUAGUUUGCAG
Pelobates cultripes (western spadefoot toad) is the source of this 316-nucleotide non-coding RNA. NCBI's taxonomy places the organism in Eukaryota, Metazoa, Chordata, Amphibia, Anura, Pelobatidae. The record is from the annotation of a GenBank genome assembly.